GUCUCUCUCUCUCUCUCUCUCUCUCUCACACACACACACACACACAGAGAGAGAGAGAGAGAGAGAGAGAGAG
Molecule: non-coding RNA, 73 nt
Organism: Podarcis lilfordi (Lilford's wall lizard)
Lineage: Eukaryota; Metazoa; Chordata; Lepidosauria; Squamata; Lacertidae
Source: the annotation of a GenBank genome assembly